RNAcentral lists this ribosomal RNA (229 nucleotides) under uncultured bacterium. RNAcentral describes it as "partial 16S ribosomal RNA". It matches the Rfam family "Bacterial small subunit ribosomal RNA", at positions 568 to 796 of the family's 1533-position model. The record is from RNAcentral.
CGCGUAGGCGGUCUCUUAAGUCAGAUGUGAAAGCCCGGGGCUUAACCUCGGAAGUGCAUUUGAAACUAAGGGACUUGAGUAUGGGAGAGGGAAGUGGAAUUCCUGGUGUAGCGGUGGAAUGCGUAGAUAUCAGGAGGAACACCGGUGGCGAAGGCGACUUCCUGGACCAAUACUGACGCUGAGGCGCGAAGGCGUGGGGAGCAAACAGGAUUAGAUACCCUGGUAGUCC